Molecule: ribosomal RNA, 465 nt
Filed under: uncultured bacterium
Lineage: Bacteria
Description: partial 16S ribosomal RNA
Rfam family: Bacterial small subunit ribosomal RNA
Source: RNAcentral
GACGAACGCUGGCGGCGUGCUUAACACAUGCAAGUCGAACGGAAAGGCCCUGCUUGCAGGGUGCUCGAGUGGCGAACGGGUGAGUAACACGUGGGUGAUCUGCCCUGCACUUCGGGAUAAGCCUGGGAAACUGGGUCUAAUACCGGAUAGGAGCCAUUUUUAGUGUGAUGGUUGGAAAGUUUUUUCGGUGUAGGAUGAGCUCGCGGCCUAUCAGCUUGUUGGUGGGGUAAUGGCCUACCAAGGCGGCGACGGGUAGCCGGCCUGAGAGGGUGGACGGCCACAUUGGGACUGAGAUACGGCCCAGACUGCUACGGGAGGCAGCAGUGGGGAAUAGUGCACAAUGGGCGCAAGCCUGAUGCAGCGACGCCGCGUGGGGGAUGACGGCCUUCGGGUUGUAAACUCCUUUCGCUAGGGACGAAGCUUUUUGUGACGGUACCUAGAGAAGAAGCACCGGCUAACUACGUG